RNAcentral lists this long non-coding RNA (859 nucleotides) under Vulpes vulpes (red fox). Its description in RNAcentral is "lncRNA (ENSVVUG00000021263.1)". Lineage: Eukaryota; Metazoa; Chordata; Mammalia; Carnivora; Canidae. The record is from RNAcentral.
UUUAAAAAAGAUUUUAUUUAUUUAUUAAUGAGAUGCCCAGAGAGAGAAAGAGAGGCAGAGACACAACACAGGCAGAGAGAGAAGCAGGCUCCAUGCAGGGAACCGGAUGUGGGACUCGAUCCCAGGUCUCCAGGAUCAGGCCCUGGGCUGAAGGUGGGGCUAAACCACUAAGCCACCUGGGAUGCCCUGUAUGUAGUUUUUAAUAAUGAUAAAAAUCCUAAUCAAAUCAAUUUAUGACUUGGUUACUAUUAUUUCUUGAAGGAGCAGAAAAUGGAAGACAACCAUGGUAUUAGGAAUUAUUUCAAAUGCCUCCUGGCUGUGCAAUCUGAAAGAAAAAAUAAGUUGUUUGGACAGAGCUUCAACCGGUCUUCUUAAACUAGUCAGACUGCACCAAGUUGAUUUGAGAUACUGGAUAGCAUUUCUGUCAGCUGCUUUGUCUCAGUGUGGUGGUGGGAAAGGAACUGCUCAUUAAAAGAAGAUAUUCAUAGAAUGGCUACAGCAAAUGCUAAAACAUUUCAGCUCACCUUAAACCUUAAAGAAGUUAGGGGUAAAUAAUACCUCUGGUAUUGAAGAGGCGAAUAUGUUCAGAAACCAAGGAAUCAACUUUAACAGCCCUAAAGAUCAAGCAUCCAAGGCAGCAAACACUUUCACCACUCCAGGCCACACUAUAUUGCUCACUUUUUAAAUACCUACCACCUAGUAGGUUGCCUCACACAGAAUACUUAUUAAUAUUUAUUAAUUCAAGUGUGUCAUUUUCACUGUAAGUUAUUGUUCAUUGUUUGACAGUGCCCUAUGAUGGCCUCUAGGAGGAACUUUUCUGGACUAAGUACCAUGAUUUUUACUAAUUCUUCUAAAAACC